Molecule: non-coding RNA, 30 nt
Filed under: Mus musculus (house mouse)
Lineage: Eukaryota; Metazoa; Chordata; Mammalia; Rodentia; Muridae
Source: RNAcentral
GGGGUUAGUCAGCGUACCUCCUACAAAGAU